Molecule: long non-coding RNA, 736 nt
Filed under: Setaria viridis
Lineage: Eukaryota; Viridiplantae; Streptophyta; Magnoliopsida; Poales; Poaceae
Description: long non-coding RNA (SVIR_LNC000908)
Source: RNAcentral
CGAGAUAAGUUAAAAGUGUGAUUGGUUGCUCCUAUAAAAUUUGUAAAUAUUUUUUGCGACCUAUUUUUAUAUUUUAUUAUUCUAAUCCGUUUAAUUCGCUUCUACGGGACUCGAACUCAAACUUGGUGGAUGAUACUCAAGUGCUCUAACCAUUAAACUAGAGAUCCUUUAAAAAAACUAAAAACAUGCCGGUACAUUUUGGAUGAAGAGAAGUAGAUUGAGCGAGUGCAGGAUCGUAGGAUCAGGAAAUAUAAGGAUGUUUUGAUGAUUGGGAUAGGCAGAUACAUUAAUCCUGACGGAGAUCUUUGGUUGGUUGUAUGGAUGCACACAAAUAAUUUUUUAUGUGGUAUUGAUAAGUGGGCCUGCAGCGGAUGCAACGUAUUCACUGAAUCAGGAUGAGGACUUAUUUUUUUUCAUCCACUCAUGUGGUAUACCCUCGCUCAUGUAGGCAACCGAAGGCUAUUCUCUAAAAGUUUCUACGGAUCCACCCCUACACCCCACAGGUAGGACUUAUGCGAAUAACCUGGAGACAAUCAGUUCAUCACCUUUUCUACACCCCACAGGUACGACUCAUGCGAACAACCAGGAGACAAUCUGUUCGUCACCUUUUCUUUCCGAGGGACACGAAAAAUCCAAUAUGUAUACGUGACCAUAUGGUUUAUCUCAAUUAUUGAUUUCUCUCCAUUCAAUCGUUGAUCCACUACCUACCGCAUAUAUUUUCAUCUACCUAUGAUCC